UCCCUCAUAGCUCAGUUGGUAAAGAAUCUGCCUGCAAUGCAGAAGACCUGGGUUCAAUCCCUGGGUCGGGAA
RNAcentral lists this transfer RNA (72 nucleotides) under Bos taurus (domestic cattle). It matches the Rfam family "tRNA". Rfam says of the family: Transfer RNA (tRNA) molecules are approximately 80 nucleotides in length. Their secondary structure includes four short double-helical elements and three loops (D, anti-codon, and T loops). Further hydrogen bonds mediate the characteristic L-shaped molecular structure. tRNAs have two regions of fundamental functional importance: the anti-codon, which is responsible for specific mRNA codon recognition, and the 3' end, to which the tRNAs corresponding amino acid is attached (by aminoacyl-tRNA synthetases). tRNAs cope with the degeneracy of the genetic code in two manners: having more than one tRNA (with a specific anti-codon) for a particular amino acid; and 'wobble' base-pairing, i.e. permitting non-standard base-pairing at the 3rd anti-codon position. RNAcentral also lists the same sequence under 3 other names. Lineage: Eukaryota; Metazoa; Chordata; Mammalia; Artiodactyla; Bovidae. The record is from Rfam by way of RNAcentral.